CCUACGGGUGGCAGCAGUGAGGAAUAUUGGUCAAUGGGCGGGAGCCUGAACCAGCCAAGCCGCGUGAAGGAAGAAGGCGCCAGGCGUCAUAAACUUCUUUUGCCGGGGAACCACGGGCGCCACGCGUGGCGUUGUGAGUGUACCCGAAGAAAAAGCAUCGGCGAACUCCGUGCCAGCAGCCGCGGUAAUACGGGGGAUGCGAGCGUUCUCCGGAUCUAUGGGGUUGAAGGGGGGCGUAGGCGGUCCGGAAAGUCAGCGGUAAAAGCCCGGGGCUCAACCCCGGCGAGCCGUUGAAACUGUCGGACUAGAGACGGCGAGAAGUACGCGGAAUGCGCGGUGUAGCGGUGAAAUGCAUAGAUAUCGCGCAGAACUCCGAUUGCGAAGGCAGCGUACCGGCGCCGGACUGACGCUGAGGCACGAAAGCGUGGGUAUCGAACAGGAUUAGAUACCCCUGUAGUC
RNAcentral lists this ribosomal RNA (459 nucleotides) under uncultured bacterium. Its description in RNAcentral is "partial 16S ribosomal RNA". It matches the Rfam family "Bacterial small subunit ribosomal RNA", at positions 338 to 795 of the family's 1533-position model. The record is from RNAcentral.